This is a long non-coding RNA of Gavialis gangeticus (Gharial), 166 nucleotides long. RefSeq lists it as uncharacterized. Lineage: Eukaryota; Metazoa; Chordata; Crocodylia; Gavialidae. The record is from RefSeq and is a predicted model, not a curated record. The transcript is spliced from 3 exons.
CUUUAAGUCUCUGUCACUUUUGUUACCCAUAGAGGUUGUGAACUGUCCAUCCUUGCAGGUUUUUAAGACCCCACUAGACAAAGCCUUGGCUGGGAUGAUUUAGUUGGGGAUGCUCCUUUUUGAACAGGGGAUUAGACUAGGUAACCCACUGAGGUCCUCUCCAUCC